AAGCAGCACUUACUUAAUCAUCAUAGAGAUGCACAUGACCAACAGAUCAACCCAAAAGCAACACCUCAUCAUCACAAAUAUGCACAUAUCACUACGGUUGGAAGCAUGCAGGUAAAUAAAUUUUAAGGAUGCUGACAAAGGUCUCGUGGAAGAGGGGUUCCAUCCUGGCAAGCUAUACCUUCAAGUGUUGAACCAUCUCUGGGUGUAGUUCGGCGGCGGCGGUGGAAGCGCCGCAGGACGUCCACAACAGCCUGGAUCAAGGCAGCCUGGACAACCGGAUUCGUGACCAUGGUCAUCUUCUCGGCCAUCUUGCUGGCUGUAGACGCCACCACCGCACAUCCAUGGUUGUAGCGCCCACCAACAUCACCUCCGGGCAGCCCAGCACGUCGACGGAGCUGUGGACGCUCGAAGCCAUGGCCAUGUCCAUCUUCCUCCUCUGAAUCAGGGACAUAAAGCCCCUACCUCCAUGCCGAUGCCUUCAUCUUCCGAGUCAAGGACAUACAACUGGUCGAGGUGAUCGACGCGAAGGCGACUGCGGCCAAUGUUGAGGAUGCGUUCCGGGCUCCGAUCACCGCCACCGGCCCCAGCUUCACGGGUUCCUUCGGUCUUCUACCACUGUCGCACAUUUUGGGGAUAGGCACGGAGCUCGCGCCGCCAUCCCCAAUCCCGUCGCACAUCUUGGGGACAGGCACGAAGCUCGCGCCACCUUCCCCAAUCCUGUCGCACAUCUUGGGGACAUCGCCUUCCCCAAUCUUGAUGACGGAUCUUGGGAUUUCAUCGCCUCUCCCAAACACAGGGAUGCACACGGGGCUCCCAUCAGCGCUGCUGCCCGCGUUGGCAUCGACGACUAACACCUUAACUGGGCGCUUGGGGCUCCCAUCGCUGCUGCUGCUGGCUAGCUUCGCACCUCGAUGUGUGGAGCGCCUAACCCGCUGGAUCCAGCUCCCAUGGGUGCAGAAAGGGCGGCGUCGAGAUCCAACCAUCCCUGUUGACGCGCGAGGCCUGAGGAUGGAGAAGGGGAAGAAAGUGAUCGAUGCGGCGGAAGCUGGAGGAGGCGGCGCGGUCAAUGGAGCUGAGGGAGAUGCAGUGGAAGAUGGGGGAGGUAGCGCGAUCAGUGGACCUGACGGGCGCUGGAAGAGAGUCGUGUGGAUGAGGAUGACAUGCGAGCUGUAGAACAUGUGGUGGGGAAAGCGGUGAGGGAGGAGAUUUUCACCGCGUUCGGUCGGCUUGUACAACCGGUUCGACUGGCUGAUGCCGUAUUCAAUGCUAUAGUACCGCAUGAGGAGGCAACCACCAAGAGACAGUGGUGACAGCUAUUUGGGUCACAUCCAUAGACCUGGCACACGCUACAUUUGCAUUAUUUUGCGGACAAAGCUCGCUCCCUCCAUCUGCAAUCUUUCACGGACGGGGGAGUACUACGUAGCGGUUCUUUUAGUCUCGAUUGUUAUUACCGACCGGGACUAAAAGAUAUCUUUAAUCCUGGAUUUUUCACCCUGAGUAAAGAUUGGGACAUUCAAUCCAAAUUUGGUAGCGUGGGUCGGAAAACUGGGUUAUAGUGGGUUUCUCACCCGGAACUAAUGAAGGAUUUCCCACGGUAUCUUGUAGAAAAAACAGAGUAGGAUUUAUUAGGACUUAAAACUGAUGAUGAACGUAGUAUAAACAUUUUACCAGAUUUCCUAGUAUGCGCACAUAAAAAAAUCACGUGUACCUGGGAGGAAGACACAGUCUUAUAUUUAACUAAAAAUAAAUAAAAAGAAAUUUGUUCCAGUACCGAAAGUUGGAAGCCGGCACUCGUUUUGCCUAGUCUGAAUUUCCCCUCCUAUUAUAUUUGAUCAAGAUGAGAAAAGAAAAGUAGGCUCGAUGGAAGCAGAGGACUGAACGAGAGGCAGACGAACCGGCCUUUACAUAAACAAAGACAAAGAAAGGAAAUAAAAUACUCUAAAAUGGGAGGAACGAGGAGGCUCCCAGAAUCUUAGGCCUCGGUUUCCUCAAACCCCACACCUCCCACGAUCCAAAAGAAAACCCCGUUCCCCACUCCCCACCUCGCCAUCUCCGGCCAGAUCCCCCUCCGCCGUCGAUCGGGGGCUCAGAUGGCCACCAAGCGCCACGCCCGCGGGGCAAGCUCCGACGACUCGGAGGAUCUGGGCCACGAGGGGGCCAAGAAGCCGGCCAAGCCCGCUCCGCCGUCGCCGGAGGACGAGGGUUCCGAGGAGGAGCGGGACACGGAGGCGAUGGAGGAGGAGAGCGACAAGUCCGGCGAUGCCCGGCCUGUGAGGCAUGCGCUGGCAGCCGCGGCCCCCAAGCCCAAGGAGACGCUGAAUCGGGCCAAGAAACCCUCGCCGGCGGCGGCGGCGGAAGAUGUUGGAGCCCAGGCCUCUGGUGAGGCCCCUCUGGUGAGGGAUGCGCGGCCCGAUGAGCUGGCCGCCGCUGCGCCUCCACUGCGCAAGAAGUCCAAGACCAAGAAGACGACGAAGCCGGUCAAGAGACCCCCGCCGCCAUCCGAGGAGGAGUCCGGCGACCCGUCUCUGGUCAGCAACGAGACCGCCGCCGUGUCUCUCCGGCGUGAGAUCGUCGCCUCCCUCGACCACAACAAGAGGGGCGCGAUGUCUCCUCCACUGAAGCGGGCCAAGAGGGACGCUACGCCGCCGCAAGAGGACGAAGAGCAGGUGGGGAAGCGCGCUGCAGGAGCUGAUAAUGAUGGAACCAGCGAGCCCCAGGCCGGGACUGGCGUGCUGGUUGAAAAGACCUUCGCCGCGUUGUCCCCACAGCACAACAAGAGAAGCAAGACGUCUGCCCCCAAGUACAAGCACAAAAAUAAGAAAAAGAAGCAGCCUGGGAAGGGGUUGGCCAAGCUGCCACAGCCCAAGUCUGCAGGAUUUGAGCUCACCAGUGAUAGAGAUGAGGCGCUGGGUGCUGGCAACACCUUACCACCACAGGAGAAGGAUGGUGCUCAGGAAGAUAAGCAGCAUGGGGAGGGCAAAGAGGACGAGGGGCUUGAGGUGUCCAGUGAGGCUCUAUCGGAGAGGGAUGCUUCUUCACCCAAGCCAUGCAGUUCCGAGGAAGAGAAGAAGCCAGCAGUAGAGCGAUCGUGGUCCAAGGAUGAUGAGCUCAAGAUUCUCCACGCUCUGGUCGAGCAUGCCCAGUCCCACCACGGUGCGCAGCCAGACUCAUCACACCUCUUGGCCAACCUCACCUUUGACAAAAUCGACGCCAAUGCAGACAAGCUCAAUGACAAGAUCCGCAAGCUCAGAACGCGGUAUCGCAGGUGGUGCUUGCAGGGAUGCCCAACUGAUAACCUUGGUGGUCGGCUGUUUGAGCUGUCUGCCAUUCUCUGGGGCCAAGGUGACGAUGAUGUGCAGGUUGAGGCAACAUCAACUAAGGAGUUCAGUCAGCGAUCAAGCUUGUAUCCUUAUCUGGCUGAGGAGGUCAAAGCCUAUGCUGAAACACACACCUCUGGAGACUUGGUAAUGGCAGCAUUCGCUACCAUAGGUCAUGAUAAGGCACGCCAUCUUGAUGCUAUGUGCAAGCAGCAAAGAGUUGACUCGUUUAAAUUGGAGCGGAGCCAGGCAAACCUAACCAAGGCAAUGCUUUCAGCAUUUUCAAGUUAUAUAUAAUUGACUGGUUUGGCAUUAUGUGGUGUGGUAAAUCUCUCUGCUUCCGUUUGUUUUAAUGUAAUGGGUAGAUUUGCUGCCACGGGUUUAUGUACUUGCAAGAGGCUCUUUUUGUGGGUACUGCAAAGCUCCUAUUAUUUAGUUGGUCUCUUAGUGUCAGUGUCUGUUUCUGCAUAUGGAUCUAGCUGUUACAGCUAAAUGUGGAAAACAGUACUUUAACUAUUAUUAUAAGCACAGCUCCAAUCAGACUGUUAGCUCGUAUGAUUUUCUUAACUCUUGUACUACGUUCCCUUGCUGCUCAAACAAUACUAGACUGAGUACACUUUUUGUGAAUUUUAAUUACUGCAAAUAAAUAUCCAUACUAAAUAGUUGGUGUGGGAAUAAUGUAGGAUUGGAAAUGGCAAUAUAGCUAUGCGUGGCGAUAUUUCUGUAACAGCAGUAUGACAGCAUCUGACCAAGUGACCAUUAUAAAAGAUUGGUGCAUUUCCUUUGUCCUCUGUCGCAUUGAUCAUAGAAUUUAACGUAGUAAUCCUAUUAUGUUAUGCUAGCACUAGCAGUAUAUGAUAGACCUGAGACCACUGUAGCAUAUGCUACAUUCAUGUGCUAAUCUGUAAUCUGUAGCAUGUUGUAUGUUACCUGCUCAGCCCUUUGUUAAAACAACAUCACAGCUUGGAUGCAUAAUAUUAUUCAUAUUUCAGUGACCUUAAAAAAUUGAUAGGAUGGGCAUUAUGCCUAGAUAGGAAAAAGGUUCCAAAAUAUUUUAAUAACUUCCAUGUCAAAUAUGGAAGCACUGCGGAACAUCAUUUGUAUGCGAAAGAAAUGUGAUGGGAUGAGUCGGGAGUUGUUGAUCUAAAGAGAUAAAGAGAUGGAAUGUUGUGCUGCAGAUGGAGUUUCUUGAAAAAUAUUUUUCAAGACUAUAUUCCAUCUGUAUUCUCAUAGAUGCAUGGAAUGCUGUGCUGGAGAUGGUCUCAAGUGUAAUCUCAUAGAUAGUAAAAGACUAUAUUCUCAAAUUUGAUAUGCUAAUGACAUGAAUUGAUCAGAUGUUUGAAUAAAAAUGAUACUGAUUUUACUUGUCUGUGUGAGAGUAUUACCAAGCUAUUUGGAGCUGUCUCAUGACGUUCCACUAAUUAUCUCUGCAAUAAGCUAUGUCAUAACGGGAUGUUCAGGCAAAACAACACUCUUCAGAAUGUGAUGUUCAGUUCAACAUCAAUGCUGAGGCUGCAGAAGGGCAUCGACGUCGAUGUGCAGUACUGCAGUCCAUGCUCGCCACAGAGAUCACUGCCACCAUCAUGGUAACAUGAUUUUAACUCUGCUCAUUACUCAUUGCAGUAUCAAUUAACAUCUUAUACAUGCUGGUGCCUUUUUUUUGGGAUUAAAGCAUAACUAAAAUUGUAAUGCUUAAAAUACAAGAUUAGUAAACAUGCAGUUGCUAGUGGUUUUAGAAUUUGAAUGGUGCUGAAAGAGAUGAUAUAUUCCCAAAUACAUAUUCUCUUUGCCUAAUAUUGCGCAUACCUUACUGAAAAACUCUUCUUUGGUCACCGUAGUUGGUACAGCAAUGGCAAGAGCGUACGUGAAGAAGCACAGUGGACAUGACCAAGAGCAAAACUGACGAUUCCAGAUUCCCAAUUAAAAUUUGUCUAUUCUUGUCCCUGUACUUAUGUAAAACACUAACACUUGUCAACCCUUGUCUUUCCUUGCCAACUCUGCCACUUUAUCAACAUCGGCUGCCCCAUGUUGGCAGGUGAUUUGAAAUAGAUGGAAAACUGGAAGAAUUGAAUUGUGUGCAAUAUUAAUAUGGUUUUAGCCAACAUACGCGCGUGGCUAGUUUUUUAAAGCAUAUGGAUUUUUUUCGGAAUGGGAGGGGAGAAAGAAGUAAUACGAAGUUUGGUACUGUUUAGUUAUGUUGCAUUUUCUGUAAAAGUUAUGAGAGUUGUGCAACUCUCGUGCAAAGUUGCGGUAUUUUGCAUGAUUUUAUUUGAAUCGUUGUUAUUUUUGUUGAAAUUUUAUGUGCCCAUAGCAAUGCACGGGCCAUUACAUAGUAUAUAUGACAUCUCUAAUUUGCUAGCACUAGAGGAAAAGCUCCAGAGCCAUCAUGUGUAUGCCGUUGAUGGUCAAAUGUAUCUAACUUAAGCCUCAGUUCUGUGCAAUUUAAAUGCCAAAAUCUCAACGCAAUUUAAUAAAUGCCACAAUAUAAUGUUCCCAUUGGCUGUCGUUCCCUAACUGGCCUGCCUUCUAAUAAGCUGUCUGUACCACUAGUUCAUAGCAAUGACUUCUGUGUUGGGCGUUGGUGUAGCCUGAAUCAACUUGCGCGCGCGCGCUGCAAGUAUGCCACGCUGCUCCACCCAGUUUGCUUGCGGUUGCCUGUGCUGGUUGAGAGGAAUUUGCUCUAUUGACAUCCCUAAAAUUUGGUCUUCGCACAUUUGACACCUAAAACAUAAGGUUGCUUGAUUUCCUAACAUUGUCACCUUUUUAUAUCGGUUCCCUUUUCUUUUUGCUCUGUUGGACACCUGAAAUGACCAUAUUAGCCCCUGAACUAUACAAGACACACACUACCUUCCUUUUGCUUUUGAACAGCAUUUCAUAACUGUUAUUUUCACAUGAAUGAACUUUGCAGCCACACCAAGCGCCAUGCCACAAUAUAUUUUUGCACAAAUAUUACUAUGUUAGAGAAACACAAUAUGGCUCCAGUUCAUCGCCAUAUACAUCCAGCUUCACGCAGUAAGUUUAUACAUAUAGUUCAUGUUUACGCAUCUCAACCAAAUAGGUUGAAUAGUUCACAUGUAUAGUUCAUAAAUAAAUCUUAGCAGUAAACAGCAUUUGAACCAAAAUAAGUUCAGUCAGCAUGCAUGCGUCAUUUAGGCAAGAGAAAAAGCAACGUACACUGGUAGAGAACUCGGUAUUAGUCCCGGUUGAUAGGGUGCAAAUCUCCCGAAAAUCCAUCCGAGAUAAACCAACCGAGACAAAAGGGGCGCCUUUUAUCCUAGGUCACUCAACCGGGACUAAAGAUCCCGUUUUAUCCCGGUUAGUAAUACAGGUCACCAUGCCAGGUGCUGCAAAAAAAAAAAAUCCCAGGAGGCCCCCCACACGCACACAUCCCAAGUCACCCCGUGGGGACCUUUUUAUCCUUGUUAGAAACAUCAACCGGGAUAAAAGUUCCCCUUUUAUCCCGGUUGGUAUUACAAACCGGGACAAAAAGGUUCGAGGGAUUUAGUCCUCUUUCAGCCACCCCGUUGGGGACCCUUUUAUCCCGGUUGGUUUAUCUAGGAUGGAUUAUCGGGAGAUUUGCACCCGGUCAGCCGAGUACUAAUAACGAGUUCACUACCAGUGUACGUUGACUUUAUGCUCUUGCCUGAAUGACGCAUGCAUGCUGACUNNNNNNNNNNNNNNNNNNNNNNNNNNNNNNNNNNNNNNNNNNNNNNNNNNNNNNNNNNNNNNNNNNNNNNNNNNNNNNNNNNNNNNNNNNNNNNNNNNNNUUAAAACCACCUCUUUUUGGCGCCUUCUCUUCCUGUUUGAAACACCAACCCGGAUGGUGCCUUUUAUCCCGGUUGGUGUUUCAAACCGGGAUAAAAGGCCUCUCAGGGUCUUUUUUUUCCACUAGCCUUUGCAACCGAGAUAAAAGGUCCCGGUUGGUGAGCCCCUGCUAGUGACCGAGCUUUAGUCCCGGUUGAUGAAACUUUUGUCCUGGGCCAACUUUAAACCGGGAUAAAUAGGACGCAUGGAAAGUGAGUUCUCUACUAGUGGUAGAUAAACACUAAUACAGGCAAGGGCGCAUGCGUCAUUUGAUAGGCCAAAAUAAUGAAAACAAAAGAAAAUAAAUUAAAAAGAGAAGAAUGUCACAAAAUCAAGCAAGCUAACGUUUCGGGUAUUAAAUUUGCGAAGCAAAUGUUUCGGAUGUCAAAUAUGCAAAGCCGUUUGUUUGGAGUGUCAAUAGAGCAACUUUCUCGUUGGUUGAAUCCCUGCAGUAAUUCAAUGGGUUUGGUUGCUCUGCCUGCAGAUGCUGUUCACUGUGCUGGCCCUUCACCUCACUGAGGCAUGCACAUCCUGUUCCCUUUGUGUUCCAUUUUUUGAAUGUGGUGAUAGCUUGUGGUUUCAAGUUUUGAUGUGCCAAGAGGUUGUUUGCGAAACCUUGAAAACUGAAGUGCAUUUGGUCUUGGGUCUGAAUAAAUAGUAGAGAUACUUUCAUUGCAUAUGCUGUGCUGCCUGGCACUUCCUGCUGUUGCUUUUGUGAAAUAUGUUGUCAAAGUUUUUCAUUCCGGGGCCUGAUUUUGCUUCAGUAGGCAGAUUACUCCACUUUGUAGGUUCCUAUGCUGCCUUGACUAGUGGGAACUCUAUGCUCACCUGUUUUCUUUAAUGUGCUACGUAGAUUCAGAUAGGUACCUACUGGAGAACUGACCUUCCAUUCUGAUGCUUUUCUCCCGGUUGACUUUGGACUCGGGACUAAAAUGCCAUUUUAGUCUCAGGUCAAAAAUAAGGCAUCAAAGGCUACCGAUGGGAGGCGCUUUAGUCCCGGUUGUAAAGAUCAACCGGGACUAAAGCCCUCCUUUAGUACCGGUUGUAACGGCUAAAAAAUCUGGCACCGAGGAUCCUCCCCCCCAACUUUUGUUCCGAUUGGAAAUUCCAACCGGGACAACUAGGACUAAAUCUUUCCACAUGGUCCCCCUCUCUCUCCACCUUCCUUAUCUUCUUCUAGGCAGUGCUCUCCUCCUCUCCACCUUAUCUUCUUCCAGGCGCCUCCCCUCCUCCCUCUCUGCGCCGCUGCCACCCCCUGCCUACCCCCCCUCUCGCCGCCGCCACCCCCUCCCCUCCCUCUCUUCUCUGCCUUCAUCUCCCACGCCCUCUCCCUCUGCUGCCCCUCCUCCUCCCCCUCUGCUCGCCCCUCACUGGUAGUGAGGAGGGUAGUGGCGCGGCCGGCGGCCGGUGCGGGUGGAGGCAGAGUGAGGGCGGGCGGCGGCAGAGUGGAGGCGGGCAUCGACGCGCUGCCGGCCCAUUUUUUUUAUUUUUUUGCAACUUUUUAGUCCCGUUUGGUUUUACCAACCGGGACUAAAGGGGGUCUCUAAUUAGUCCCGGGCGAAUGACCCGGGACUAAAGGACCCCUUUUUGUCUCGAAUGAUUAGUCCCGGUUGGAUUUUCGGGAUCUAUGGUCCUAUCCAACCGGGACUAAAGCCGUGUUUUCCAGUAGCACACAUGUACUCAAUAAUUUCAUUUGCCACCUAAUAGAUUAUAUACGAAGAUUGUAGCUUCCGCUCCGGUUGUGCCUGUCCGAUGUCCAGUGUUCAGUGGUGCUGGACUAGGUGAACCAUUCUGCUUCAAUAGUGGUCAUGUGCCUUUCUAAGUUGCAUGAAAGCUUCCGUGCUGGUUGGUUUGGGAUCUUUUGUUCUUGGAGGUUAAACAGACUGCUUUUAUUUGUUACUAUGCAUGCUGUCCUUCCUAUGUGCCUUCCGUUUUGGCUUGUUUGCGAUCUUUGGCUAAUCUGCAGUAUAGAAUCAUUUGCAUAUGUAAAACUAUCAUCGAAUUAGUGGUCUUAGAUUUGCAGGUUUCAGGUUACUAUCUUUCCAACAGCAUAUCUAUGUGCCCAGUCAGAUUAUUGUCCCGCCGUACAUAGGAACCUCCGAAGGUGUGCCUCUGUGCCAAUCCAGUGGAAAUGCUCGUGUUGAUCUUUGAAGAAACUAAAUUUGAUUGUACCUCCAACCUAACGUAGUUUGCAUGAUUAACAAGCCUAUUGGUUUGUUUUCAGGGAUUUCUUUUUAAGUUCCUUCGCCAUUGAGAGACCAAUAUCAAUCUGAAAUUUGCUUCUGCUUUUGACUCAAGUUACACUCUUUGGGUGCUGUGCUUUGACAGUUUUAUCAAUCCUUGCUCAUUGUAAUUAUUGUUUAUCUACAGUUGUGCGCCUCCUUAAUCUUUUUUUCUUGUCUAGGUGACUUUCUGCAUGUGCCCUUCAUAUCAUGACCACCUUUUGUUCCUGGACCAGUGAACAGGUGAAGUUCUCAUCCAUAGUUCCAUGCUUUUUUCCUUUCUCCUGCAAUACAUUAUUCUUCAGCAUAUUUAGUAACUUACUCAUGUGCUCCUGGUGGUCAAUGAAUCCAUCUUAUAGGUCUCACUAUCUUUAUAUUUUUCCCUUCACUUGUUUUCAUGGAAAACAACGAGUAUUGUGUCCACUUAUACUUUGGAGUAGGGCUUUUGCACACUUUAUACCAAGUUAAGCACAUUGCUUACACAAAUAUAAGAUAUGGCUAUGAAUAUACUGACAUGUCAUAAAGUCAUGGGGAAAGAGCCCUGAGCCCCUGCUACCUGUCAUUAGUCUGCAUAUCUGUUGAGGAUGUGUGUUUGUUGAAUUAGAAUAUAAUUGUUGAUGUUAAAAGCUCUACCUUUCUACCUCAAUAUACUAAGAAGUCUGUUCUCUAAUAGGUUCAGGCGAUGAAAUAAUCGACCAGCCAUUGACAAAUUAAAGUCCUUGAUGUGUAUGUAACAAUUUACUAGGGCCUCUACUUUUCUGCAGUUCUUCUGUGUUCUCUGGAGGAUGUGUGUUCUUUUGUGUAUAUAAUGGUGUUCUUCCAGCCAAAUUGUCUAAAUCUCACUGUAUGGAUCAAAGCAGUGCACUUUACCUAUUCAAAUGGAAACGACCUGACUCGCAAUUAUCACUUCCUACUGCUUUUGUCAAUUGUCCAGAAGUAUAGCUGGACAUUUGGCACUAGCACUAGGGGCCGGCCCAAACACGACACGAAAAAGCACGGCCCACGAACAGCCCAGCCCGUGACUCAUAGUGCCAGUGCCUGGCACGGCACAGCCUUAGUGCCGUGCCUGUGCUGCCAUUUCGGCCUGUAGUGCCGGCACGGGCAUGGCACACUUAAUGGGUCGGCACGAUAGCGGUCCAAUUCCUCCCGACCGUUGGAUGCCAUCAGAAUGCACCAGCACCGUUAGGUGAGCGGAGAGUGACAUAUAUAAAGAAAUAUGUGCCUGGAACUCUAACUCCCUGCUUCUCUCCCGUGGACGCCCGCCCGCCCGCGGGGGGCCGCCGCCGCCGCCGGAGCAUGGCCGCGGCUCCUCCCCUCCCUCUCUGGCUCUCUCCUCUGGCCGCCCGCGAGGGGCCGCCGCCGCCGGGGGCGUGACCCCGCGGCCGGGAGGAGUGGAGGGCCCCCCGCCACCGCCGCCAGGGCGCAGCCGCCAGGAGAAGUGGAGGGGGCCCGCCGCCACCGAGGUCCACUGCAGCUGGGAGGAGUGGAGCUGUGGAGAGGCGUGGGCACGAUGGGCUGCCGUGCCGGCACGGCACGGCUAAUCAGCUUGAGGGCCGUGCCCGUGCCGAGAUGUCGGCACGACGGCACUACGAGGCACGGCACGGCUAAGCCACCGUGCCGCAUAGUGCCGUGCCAUAUAGUGCUGUGCGGCGUUGUGCCCGUGCCCGUGCCGUGCCGUGCGCCCGGUUGGCCACCUAUAUCCAGAAGUCACAGGGCAUAUUGUUUCCUAACAAACAAAGUAUACCAAAAGAGAAUCGGAAGGUUUCAUUCAGUACAUCACCUUUCAGUCUGAUAGAUCAAGAACGUUCCAUUGAUUGCCACCGCAACGCCCCUGCAGAACAACCACCAUGCCAAAGCACCAGGUUUGGCCUCUCCGCGCAGGACCAGAACAAGAUGAGCUAGGGCCCAAGUCUAUCCUCUGCACGCCGUCGUGAGCCGAAUUGCUCGUGCAACUCCGCUUGGUGGCUUCAUGCCCAUGCGAGCGCCCUUGCUUCACCAGCCGAACGUACCGCAGGCUCCGCAUUGCCUCCGCUGUUUGGCCCCAUAGGCACGCACAGGUGGCUGGGGCGCUGGGCAUGCAUUUGUCUCGCGCCGUGCGUCGAGGCCCGAACAGCGUCGCGCCCACGUCGGCCUUCCUUGGCCCCGCUCCGUGCCAUGGUGUGAAGCACCUGGUUGCCGCAGCCCACAUGGGAUGGGGAAAAGCGCGUCAAGGCGAGAAAGACGACGGACGGAAGAAACGGAGAGAGAAGGCUGCGCACCGCGAAAUUGAGGGAGCCUACACUGAGGGAAGGGAGGCGGCGGUGGGACAACGGGAGAGGUGGUCGGGCGAGCGAUACGGGAGAAAAGAGGCAAAGCGAUCCUAAUUCAUGCUAAUAUAUAUUUGGUUGUCCAUCCGUAUCAAUGACUCAACGUGCCACUACAGAGCUCUAACUGGCAGCACGGCAAGAUGAUGUCCAGCACACAAGGACGUUCGCUCAUUGUGAUGGACAUGUUUGAGUUUUUACCUAUACUAUAGAAUUUUUUUUGAGAGAACAGGAGGCGUGCCCUACUGAUUAAUUAUAUAUAAAAAGGUAAAAAGAGUACAAACAAAUGAGUAAAUCCAAGAAAGGAAAGGAAAGGAAGCCAAAAUGAAAGGAAGGUUAACUAACCAACUAAAGGAUAAAAAAACAAAAAGGAAAAAAAGAACUGGGGGGGGGGGGGGAUACAGAGCGAGCUAAAAGGUUUGCAGCCAGACUUCCAUCAUGGGUAAGUGUCUUGACUUUGCUCCCAGACUUCCAUCAUGGGUAAGUGCCUUGGCUUUGCUCGGUGACGGAGCAUUGAGAAUUCUUGUAUGAAAGUUAGUUUGCACCGCUCUACUGUCGGGUCCUCGUUGUUGAACAUCCAUGCAUUUCUCAUCUUCCAUAUGCUCCAAGUCAUAAGCAGAAUAAUCUCCAUGGCAAAGGGUAAUCCCAACCUGUUCCGGACUUGUCUAAUGAUUUGUUGGGGGCGUUCUUGUUGAAGUAUAUGAAAUCCCAAUAGUGUUCCAGCAUCUUUUUGCAAAGUUACACCCGAAGAAGAGGUGGGAAACUUUUUCCACUUUUUGCAAGAUACAUAACUCGCAAUUAUAUGAAUCCAGCUGCAUUUGUUUUCUUCUCAACAAGUCCCUUGUGCUUAAUCUGUCCUUCAACAGAAGCCAGAACAAACCUUAUGUUUCAUCUGGCACCUGGAAGCCCAUAUCCAUGUGAAGGCCGGGUGAACAUCUCUCUGUCCAAUAAGCAAUUUGUAAGCCUUUGAGGUAGAGAAUGUAGGGUUGCCCCAGAUAUAUGUCCAUACAUCUUGACCCGGAUCCCUAACCAUCUUCUGAAUGAUACCUUGCAGGACAUUAAACUGAUUAUAUGCCUGAAUGGAUAGUGGUAAAUUGAAGUUAUCGAUGAAUGCCUCACGGUUAACUAUCUCCCUAAAAGAGUCACUUAGUUUCUUUGUAAAGGAGUACAGUUCAGGGAAGUCCUAGGCUGGCACAAGCUGCAUCCACAAGUCUUUCCAGAAGGACACAGAAGAUCCAUCAUUGACUGUCGGUGUUGCAAUUCCCUUAUAGACAUCCAAUAGUUUGACAAUAUCUUUCCACCAAAAAGAUCCCUUAGCUUGCUGUCCCAGUAUUUUGCCAUCUGUAUAGUAGUUGUCCCAUAUUAACUUGACCCAUGGAAUAUCUGCCCUCGUAAAAAAUUUGUGUAGGUAGUUGAGUAACAUGGCAUCAUUAUGUACAGAGAGAUUUUUGACCCCCAGCCCCUCUUGUCUUUUGGGCAAUCUUACCAUGUUCCAAGCUGCUUUAUGUGGCUGGUUUGAAUUGAGGUCUCCCCCUCUCCAAAGACAGUGUUUGCAAUAUCUGUCUAAUUGCUUGAUGACUCCUUUGUGUAAUUUUAAAGUUCUAGUGUAAAACACAGCUGAGGAGGAGAAGAUUGAAUUUACCAUUUCCAACUUGCCUCCUUGACUCAGAAAAACAGAUGUGCUACUUAGCCUCUUUUCAAUUCUUUGCAUCAAUGGAAUGAAGUCUUCAAUAUUUGGUUUUGUUGUUCCAAGCGGCAGGCCAAGAUAUGUGAAAGGAAAGGAUCCCUUCUGACAGUCAAAGCCUCUUGCUAGUGCUUCCAAGGUUUGGUCAGUGAUGUUUAGGGGGACCAUGAUCGACUUUUUAUAGUUGACUUUGAGCCCUGUGGAUGCCGCAAAGGAGUUAAGGAUCUCUUUAAGAUGCUGCAGUUGAACUGGAGAGGCCUCCAUGAUUAACAAGAUGUCAUCAGCGUAUUGGAUGACUGGGAAAUCAGUACCAGCUCACUUGGAAUUGGGAGUUUUAGUCUUCCUGAUUCCUUGGCAUGGUUUAUCACUGACUGUAGAAGAUAUGCUGCUAGAACAAACAAAAGGGGUGAAAGAGGAUCGCCUUGUCUGACUCCCCUUUUGCAGUGGAAUACCUUUCCUGGAGUGCCAUUGAGUAGGACCGAUGAGGUGCCAGUACUUAAGAUGUUGCUGAUCCAUUGGAUCCAUUUAUCACUGAAACCUUUGUACUUCAAAAUCUGUAUAAUGGUUUGGUGUUCGAUCUUGUCAAAGGCUUUUUUAAAGUCUAGCUUCAGAACAAUCAACUCUCUCCUGGAGGCUUUACAGAGAUGUAGGAAUUCAAAAGCCCAUGCAAGGCAAUCGUGUAUGGAUCUGGUCUUAAUGAAGCCAUAUUGGUUAGAGUGUAUCAACCGUAGAAUUACCUGCUGGAGUCUCUCAGCUAGAAGCUUCGUGAGUAACUUGAUAGUUGAAUUCAAAAGCGAGAUGGGCCUAUAGUCCCCAACACACAAGGGGUUUUCCUUUUUAGGGAUCAGAAUAAUAUAAGAAGAGUUUAUGCUAUUGAGGCAAACUCGUCGUUCCUGAAAGUCUUCACAGAGCCUGUAGAAAUCCUGACAAAUAAGUGGCCAGCAUUUUUUAAUAAAAUCUUCAUUAAAUCCAUCUGGCCCCGGAGAUUUAUUUGUGGGGAGCUCUGUCACAAUCCUGUCAAUUUCCUCUUUUGAGAAUGGACUGUGUAACCAGUCUAAAUUUCCAUCUGACUGUAGCAAGUCUUCAAGGUUUAGAUACAUAUGCGUAAACUCAGAGGAUCCCAACCUAUCUUUAAAGCUUUCCCAAAGAAGAGAGGCUUUAGCUUCACGAUUAAAAAGAGCUCUCCCUGUGUGAUCAACCAAAGAGGUAAUAGAGUUCCCUCUAUUUCUUAUAGAAGCAUUGGCUUGAAAAAACCGGGUGCAUUCAUCCCCUAGCUGAACCCAUCUAAUUUUUCCUCUCUGCUGCCAGUAUAUCUUCUAUUGAUGUAGAAGAUUUUCCAGGUGGGUUGCUAUUGUCUUUCUAAAGUGCCAUUCAUCCAGACUUAGGUCUCUUGAUUCUUCCAAGAUGUCCAUAAAAAGGAUCAACUCCUUGCAGUUUGAGAUGGCCAGUGCCAAGUUUGGGAGUUGUUGUUUCCAUGCUUUAAGAAUUCUCCUCAGGUUUUUGAACUUUGCUGUAAUUAUCUUGGCAUACUCAGAUUGUUGAGUAGGAAUUCCCCAGGCAUGUUGGAGGACAGGGAUAAAAUUAUGAUGUUGUAACCAAAAGUUUUCAAAUCUGAAGACUUUUGGUUUUGGCAUUUUUGUACAUGCGGUAAUGAGGCAAGGUGUGUGAUCCGAGAUAUCCCUUGAUAGGCCUGUAAUAGAAGAAUUCGGAAAAGAAGUAGUCCAUGCUGGGGAGGUGAAAAACCAGUCAAGCCUUUCCAGUAGGGGGUUAAGCUGCUUAUUAGUCCAUGUGAAUUUGCAACCCCUAAGUGGAAGCUCAAUUAGCCUGAGCCUACUGAUUGCAGCAUUAAAAGCCAUCAUUUCAUGGACAUUCCCACCGGGCUUGUUUCUAUUGUCUGGUUUGCGAAUUAGGUUGAAGUCUCCAACAACUAGCCAAUUCUCAUCAUCUGGCAUUUGUAUAUGUUGCCACCAAUUCAGAAAUGCCACUUUCCCUUCCGUGGUGCAUGGAGCAUAUACAUUUGUUAAGACCCAGUCUUGCCCCGAUAAUUUGCAAGUGAAUCUCACCGAUUGUGCAUAGUUAUUGGAGAAUUCUAAAGAUCCUUCAAAUUUUGCAUCUUUCCAAGCAAUAAGGCUUCCUCCCGAAUUUCCAACUGAGGGGAGAAAUACAAAACUUCCCAUGCAUGGUGGGCACAAUUUUUUUUAAUGAAUUGGAGAUCACAAAACUCUCUUCUGGUACCCUGUAAACAUAGGAUGUCACAAUUUGAUUCUUUAACCUUACUUUGUACUGCCUCCCACUUUUUUUGUGCAUUGAUCCCCUAAUGUUCCAAGAUAACACUUUCCAGGUUCUCUUGUUGUUGUCUGAAUUCAUCUAAAGCUAGUUGGGGUUCAGGAGACCUUGUAGUUAGAUUGACUAACUGGUUUCUGAGGCGAUAAAAUACCUCUUAUUCCAACCGACGAGAUCAUUUCCCCGUUCCAUAACCAUUGGGGAGCAAGAAUAGAGCAGAAAUAGCAAAAUAUUCCACAGAGGUGGCAGAAGCAGCAUAAAUUGUUCACCAAACAACCAUUACCGAUCAUCAUUAUCCGCUAGUGAUUCAAAAGUGUCCCCAUAUCAAUAGUUAAUAAGAGGCAACUGAUCAUAAAAUUAAGGAAGAGUCUAAUAGAUAGUAGAAUAUGGAGCCAUCUACGCCUUGCUCCUCUUGAAGGUUCCUUUUGCAUCCUGCUCCUCCUUCUUCUCCUUGGCUCUUUCUUUCUUGGUGGAGACCACCUUCCUGUUACCGAUGGCAUGCUUGGUUCUGGAAGGAUUUGGCUUGGUCAUAACUUCUAAAGUUUCUGUGUUGAUUUUGCAUAAAUCAGAACCCAUGGUUUGGAUUAAGUCAAGAGAUAGAGUGGGAGGAGUAGAGGCACAUGCUAGGCAAUUCUUACUAGGGCGUCCCUGAUUUUUGAAUCCCCCAUUCUUGGCUUUGAGUCUUGGGCUGCGUCGUGCUUCUGUUUCCACAAUCGGAGUCUUGCUGCUCCUUCCUUUUGUAGCCUGAGUGUUGGGAUCUAUGUUGUUGUCGAGUGAAGAUAGACACUGCACUUCCGCAUUUGGUGGACAAACAGAGGGUAAAUUGAAAGUCAAGACUGAGGAUUGAUGAGAGACAAAAAUAAGGAAUUUCCAAGCUUGAGAAGACAGAAAUCUCUUUGCCCAAUGAAAGUGUGAUGGUGAAAGGAGUUUAACAGUAAAAAAGACCACCCAAUCAAGAGGAAUAGAAAUCACCUCCUCAGCACCCUGGACUGGAGAGAAGUAUCUUGCCCAGAGCCUAUAUAGAUCAGCAGGUGGUCCUGUACUAUUUCUGACAGUCUUCUCGUGCAUCAUCCAUCCUGGAUCAGCUUGGAUUGAGGGUAGUAGAGCAAUGUUGAUGUCCAGGUGCAUGUUGUGUCUCUGAUCAUUAGGAGAUCCAUUCAGAGCCAAUGCCUGAUGCCCACCUUCUUCUGCUUGAAGUGUCACCUGGCCUGCAUUAUCCACUAUCAUAUGAUCAGAAUGAUCCACUUCUCCUUGGGCUGCCACAUUGAGGUCAGGUAUCGGCCCAUGGGCUUGCUGCUGCUGGGCUGGAACAAAAUCCGGAAAGAAGUCAUCAUCAUCAACCAGGAAGUGUCCCCCCAGCUCAUUGACUGUUGGUAUGAGUUGUGGUCCCUGAAACAACUAGAAACCAUCCGCAAGUUGUGCAACAUCCUCUGUCUGAGCCAAACCUUCCUGGACUUGAGUAACUUGGAUAUCACUAAGAGUUUUGGGCUUGACACUGCUUUCGGACCUCAUUGAGCUCUCUGGAUCAGUAGAAUGCGAACUGGACCCCAUCAGGACUGAUAGUCCGAGGUCAAGAUCAUUGACAUCUUGCUGUGCUUCCCAUUCAUUGUCUUGAUGUUCAUCCACGUCAGGGCCUUCCACAUCAUCCAGCAAAUCAUUGAGAUCUGGCACUGCAUUUGGUUGAACAUUCUCCAUUUGAAAUUGUUGCUGUUGUUGCUGUUGCUGACAGUUUCCAUUCUGGGGUUGAGCAAGACCAAUUCCAGGGAAGAUAAAAUUACCCUCUAUCCCUGGUGGUGGAAUGUCUUCGUCCUGGAGUUGCCCUCCUAACAUAGUUUUUUGCAUGAUUUCCACUUGAACCGUGUGUGAGAUUCCUUCAAAAUCAUCACCCUCAGAUAGAACUAGAUAGUGAGGUAUGUCUUCUAGGUCCGUAACUCUUGCUUUCACAAUUACUCGGGCUAAGACAUUGUCUUUCUGCCAACAGAUGAGACGUCCAAAGGAUUUGAUAGUGUCCCGGAUAUCUUCCACACCCCUAGUGUCCACAGGAUAUCCUAUUAGCAUCAACCAGCAUUCAUUGUUGAAAAGAACCCUCCUCGCAUUGGGACCUCUGUUGUGCUGAACAACAUCGAUAUUGAAACCCUGAAACUGAUGAGGGUUGUGCUGUACUAGCGCUUCCCUAUCAAUCACUCGACACAUACGAACAAAAGCUUGAGCUCUAUGAAAUGGACUUUUCUGGAUAUCAGUGACCCUUAAUUCAUACAACCCCUCUAGCAGCCCUAAAAGGAUAGCUCUAGUCUCGGCAAAAUGGAAUCUCACCCGGAGGGGGGUCAGUGAUGGUGACGAUCGUCAAAUCUUCAUUUGCCGGCGGAGUUCUUGGAAUGACAACCCUCGAGUAUUUGGGUCUCCCUUGCACCAACACCCUAUGGAAUCCGGGGAGCAUCAUUGGCACUGGAUCAACAUUCAGAAACGCCAUUUCUUCACAGGAGAAGGGAAUGUCAGCGAUUAAGCUUGGGAUGGGGGGCUUGGUUCUAUAGGAAUUGGGGGAAAAGGCGAGAGGAGCGAGGUAGCCGAAGGGUCAGCGACUGUUGGGAAAAAGGUGCUCUUGUUCAGUGCCCCUUGGGUAGAAUCCAGACGUGGGCUUUGGUAGUUGGGCCUAGCGGGGAGAGAUGAUCCUCCUCUGAACCACCGCAGCCCAACAUCCGAAGGCCAGACAUAGGGGUAUUACAGAGGAGAAAUUACUUCUUACAGGGGAAUUGCACCGCGCCGUAAAUUUUUGGAGACCGUGAAAGGAAAUGCAUUCCCUGGAAAGGUGUCCAUCUAGAUUGCAGCGCCAGCAUUUGAUCGGGUUGUUGCAGGUUGAGCUGAGGUGGUUCGGCGAUAAGCAUCUCCUGCAUUUAAGAGCAGAUCUUGCUACAGAACCGGAUUUCUGGGAAGGUGCUACUUUGGGCCUGCUCCCCUUGACUUCCCGUUGACCCCAUUUGAAUUUUGGAUGACUGGGAUAACUUCCAAGCUGUUUGAACUCCAGGCGAUUAAAAAUCGAUUUGCGGGGAAAUUCCAAUCUUGAAAAAACCGAUCUGCCAGAGAAAGAAGAAGCCUGAUUGAUACCCAAGGGCACCAAAUUUGCCCCUGUUAGCCUGACAGGCGGACGAUCAGCAUUGAUCCGGCCCCCUUUAGACGGGAGAUCACCGUUUCUUUUGAGAGAAUCCGCGUAAGAGUUCUUGGCUCUUUUGUAACGUGGAAAUACCCAAGAGUAAGCAGGUCCGGAAUCUUUCUUUGCAAAAGAUGAGAGCUUUGCGAAAUCCACUAUCAUUAUUUAGGAAGAAACCCAAUUUGAACCAUUCGCAUUCAGACAUACCCAAAUCACAGAUGAAGAAACCCACAUCCCGGGAAAGAACUUUGAAUUUGAAAAGUUGAUCUUCCAGCUGCUCAGCCCUAAAUUUGGAUGUCGUCCCUCCCAGGACAGCUUGUAAGCAAAUGUUCAUGGAAUCCUCCGAUAAACGAAAUCUGUUUCUGCUGAAAGAGACCAGCAAGGAAAAGCCCUCGCUUGCUGAUCUCCCUUCCGAGUUAAUAGGGCAUUUCAGAGAGUCAAGAACCUUCUUGCUAAAGAGUUCACCCGAAAGAAAAUCCAACUUAUUGAAAUCCAUUUCAAGAAAGUCACGACCAAAGGGGAGGAGGACCUGCGGGAGAGGAGGAAGAAGGGGAGCUUUCACCUGGAAGAGGAAAACGAUCACCUUGAAGGAAGAAAAUUGAUCGGCAAAAGACCGAGAGGGGGGAGUUAAGCCUAGAGAACUCCCGAGUUCAGAGACUCCUAGUCAAGAACUCCUUGAGAGGAGAGAUGAAGAUCCGGGAUGUGGCAGUAGAGCCUCUAGUGGACGCCGGGACUGGCAUGGCCAUCGGUGGUUGAGAACAGGGCUCCGGCGGCGCGGUGAGCAUCAGUUGGACGCUGAGGCUGGGGUGGCCAUCGGCGGCAAAGCCACACUGGAAGCUUUCUAGUAGUUCAACUGAUGGUUUGGUGUAAUCAUUUGGAUCAAUGUGGUAAAUCAGGCCAGGGUCAGCUGCCCUGUUGGGGUUUAUGUGGCCCCCUCCGUAGUCAAAUGGGUCAGCAAUCUUUCGAGGCAAUCCUUCCCUAUACUAUAGAAUUGCAUGGAGCUUUAUUUAUAACUACAGUAAAUGAAUAGAUUUCGCAGCUGGUGGAUUUAAUUGGUACGAUAUCCUAAUAUUGCCUGCUGUGUGAUCUACAGAAGGAAAUGCAAGACCGUGUAACAAGAAUGAUGACUUACGAAUUCCCCCGUCUGUUAAUAAUAGUAGUCGUAGUUAAGUAACCACAUGAACAAUUCAUAACUAUAAUCCCUCCGUCCCAAAUUACUAUUCGUUUUGACUUUUCUAGAUACACACCUUUUAAUAUGCACCUAGAUAUAUACUUAUGUCUAGAUAUAUAGCAAAAGUGAUGUAUCUAGGAAAACUAAAAUGAAUAGUAAUUUGGGACGGAGAGAGUAGCUCUCUACAUACUGUGCGACAACUAUGAUUCAUAAUAGGUAAUACUCCAUCCGUUCCAAAUUGUAGAUCGUUUUGGCUUUUUAAGGUUCAUACAUAUUAUUAUGCAUCUAGACAUACACUAUAUCUAAAUGCAUAAUAAUAUCUACGGACCUAGAAAAGCAAAUACGAUCUACAAUUUGGAACAGAGAGAGUAUGUGAUACCCUAGUGAGAGCCAUUCUUGUAACAGUUACCCUGCAUGGACUAUCGUGCUAUAGUUAACCAUUGAAGCUAAUGUGACAAUAUUUAGAAAGAACUAACAUUUGCUUUUGCGGUUUUGCCAAUUCCCCUCAUAAUUUCACAUAAUCAUUCUUAGCAUGAUUACAACGAAUUAAACUGUAGAACUGUUAUAUUGCACUCGGGCUGUUAGGAGAAAACCGUGAUGGGUGACAUGGUCAUGACACGCUGCUCCAAUGCCGGUUUUAGAGGAAGAAGGCUAGGCGAGGAAGACAUUAUUUAAGAAACAAAAAAAUGUUUUUUUGUUAAAUUUUAAUUUCCACCAUGUUUGCUUGAGCAGCAUGUGUUGAUAUCUCGAAGAGUUCUUAUCUCUACAAUAAAAAAACUAAGAGCAACUCCAAGAGCUCCCUUAAACUACUCCUAAAACCUUAAUUGAGGGAAAAUAGUAAAAAAAGUUGCUCCAACAGAUCCCCUAAACCUCCCGCAAAUUUACGUCCACCCGCAUCCGGAGCUAAUUUUCCCGUAAAUAUACGCAGCGCACCUCCUUCCCCAAUCCAUUCUCGCGCGCCCACUCGCACCUUUUUUUCCCCACGCGCGCCAUUUUCCCGAGCAUCUUCGGCAGCGGUGGCGCCGUUCCUUAUCCUUGCAGUGGCGGCGGCCACGGCACCCGGCCUUCCCCGAGCGGCAGCGGCAACACCCGGCCUGUCCUCCCCGAGCGGCGGCGGCGCCCGGCCUUUCCUCCCCGAGCGGCGGCUGCGCCGGCGGCCGGCCCUGUCCUCCCCAAGCGGCGGCGACACUAGGGCUGUCCUCCCCGCCGGCGGCGGUGCUGGCGGCCGGCCCUGUCCUCCCCAAGCAGCGACGGCGCCGGGGCUGUCCUCCCCGCCGGCGGCGGUGCCGGCGGCCGGCCCUGUCCUCCCCGAGGGCCGCGACAGGAAGGUCCGCUUCGUUCGCUGGAUCGUUGGCAAAUAGUUCCCAGGUACGGUUUCCAGGUGCUCGAUUUUCCUAAUUCACUUUCUGGUUAGCAGGCCUCUUUAUUAGCUCUAGCAGUGUCCUGGUUGAAAAACCGAUUUGUUAGGUGUUUUAGAUGUUGGAUUCAAUACUUCUGAUGGUUGCUGCGAUAUUAUCCUAAAUUGUGCUAUGUUUCUUGGCCCUCUCUGGAUUGUUUGCAAGGAUGAAAUUGAGCAGCCUCUGAAAUUGUUUUCUUGCAUCAGAUCCAUGCUUGGGGAUGGUUACCCCUAGUAUGUCAUAUCUUGUGCAGAAGUCUUGCUAGAGAAGAGAAGCAUGAACUGCAAGGCACAUCAUAGACCUGGUAGUUGAAGCCUUGUGCUGAAGUUAAAUGUAAAUAUAAUUGUGUUUUGAAAACCCCUAAGUUCGUGCUAGAUUUGGCAAUGUACAUUGCCUGGCGCAAUCUCGUCCCAAAUGAAUGGUCUUUCUAGCAGCAAGACCUUCAGGUGUAGUGCAAUGCUUUGAACCAAUGGCUUGCAAGUUCAGCAGGUUCAGAACACAAAGAUAUCUGUUUACUAUGUCAAUGUUGCUUGAGUAAUUGGGAUAGGAGUCACAGAACAGUUGCUUGAGUAAUUCAACAUCUGUACUAAUUCAGCAUCUAGUUAGGAUGUUGCAGGAAAACAAAUCCUAACCAAAUAAUUUAGUCAUAUAACUGAGCUGACAAAACUAAUUUGGAAAAAAGUUUUGAGAUAUCCAGGCUGACAGCAGCAGCUCUCCCACGUAGAAAAAGAUAUCAAGGCUAACAAACUUACAUUCUCCAAUUUGUAAGCAUUAGAAAAAGAAAGGGGCAUCAAAAAACAACUUUGAAAAAGUAGAAGAUACCAGACUGACAGUACCGCAUAAUGAAUCUGUAACUGACUAAGUUUUUGGAAGUAACAUGCUUAUAAUUGUAUCUUAGCUUAGUAACACCAUUAUUUUCGUGUUACAGUAACUCCAAGAGCUCCCAAUGUCAAGCGCUCCCAUCCGGCAAGUUCAAGAUUGGCGCGGCAGGCAGAAGAUGCGUCGGGUCAUGGCCAUCGGCGGCCCCAACGCCCAAUGGAACGGCGGCGUCCAAGAUUUCCAGUUUGCCGGUGGUGAGUACCUUGGCCGGACUAGUGGAGGUGAGAUACGAAGUGAAGGGUAGGGUCGACGACCACCAUGUCCUCCGAUAGACGGCCUUGCCGGCGAUGAUGAUGAUCCCCUAGCGGAGCAUUACCCUGGCAGUGAUGCCCCCUAUGCAUCCUUUGAGCACAUGGCCAACGGUAACGAUUUUCUCAAUGGUAUCAUCAUGCAAAAUACUAGAAGGACAAAAGCUUUGAUGCACAUACUGUGUCAAAUAUAGUUUCUUCUUUCUCAUUUUUCUAAAUGCAUUUUCAUUGAUUGAUUCCUACAACGAAUUACAUAUGUUCAAAUGUACCUUGGAACUAUCUGUCAUCUUAUAUCCUUAAAAUAUACAGUAGAGUUCAUAGUACUGGGAUGUCCUAUGUUGUUGAUUAAUGAGCUUUGAAGACGAUAUACAGUAGAGUUCAGAGUUCAGAGUACAGUAGAGUUCUGUUGCAUGUCGUCCUGGAAUUGUAUUACAUCUCUUUGGUUUGUGAAGUGUUUAGGCAGUAAUAUUUCUGAGACUGGUACAGCUGCAGCUGAUUGUGGAUGCUUGUAUCAUAUCUGCAUGUAUUGCUUGCACGUGUUAGUAGUGUCUGAUUUUUACAGUGCAUACCAGAAAGAAAUGAAAGUGGAAUCCAACCAAAAAUAAUAUAUUUACCUCUGUUCAUCAGCUUGGUAGAAUUACUACUGCUCUAUGUUUUAUAUUCAUUGAGGUUUGAUAGAAAACUUAUUAGUGAUUAAAUGCUUGCAGGAAAUGGGUAUUUUUCCAACAUGAUGAUGGAUGAAACCAAUCAAGGGGAUUUUGAUAAUUAUAACAAUACAUGUGCUGACCAACAGUCACAAGCAAUUAAAAAAGUUCCAGCAACCCCUCUCCGAGGCCAAACCAUAAGAGAUCCAAGAAUUUCAGUGACCACGAAGAUGAGGUUUUGGUUUCUGGAUGGCUGAAUGUAAGCUUGGACCCGGUCGUAGGCAAAGAUCAAAAAGGUGCCAAGUAUUGGUCUCGUAUCUAUGAGUACUUCAAUCAACACAAGACGUGCCCCUCAACGCGUACAAUGAAUUCUCUCAUGCACCGGUGGGAGACCAUACAAAAAUGUGUGAACAAAUUUUGUGGAUGUGUAUCACGGAUUGAGUUAAGACGUCAAAGUGGUACUACAAUGCAAGACAAGGUACUUACUCACUAUGUAGUACCAGGUUUUGUUUUGACUAUUUUAUGUUUUUAUAUCAUAUAUGAAUAUUCCUUGGAUGUUGGUGUGCAGGUUGCAGAGGCAUGUGCUUUGUACAAGUCCAAAGACGAACAUCAAAAAGCAUUCCAGUUCAUGCAUUGCUAGAAUAAGCUGAGAACACAACCAAAAUGGCUUGCUAAAAUUGAUGAAUUGGCGGCUGGUAAAACAUCUCACAAGAAGCAGAAGACAAGCUCCAGUGCAAGUUUACCAAUUGAAUUAGGAGAAGGUGAGGUUCAAGGCAUAGAGGAUAAUGCAUUGACAAGGCCAAUUGGUAAGAAGAAGGCAAAACUAGCACUACUGCAAGAGAAGAAAAAAAGUGUGACAGCAACCUUAGAAAAUAUGUGGGCACAGAAGAAAGAAACUAAUGAGGAGAAAGAGCUAAAAAAAGAGGAGAGGUUCAACAAAGCAUUUGCACUUGAACAAGAACGAGUUGCUCUUGAACAGGAUCGAGUUGCAAAUGAAAAACUACUUCUUGAGUUGAGGAGCCAGGAGGUCCAAUUGCAAAAAAGGAGGGAUGAAGAGAGGAUUAUGACCAUGGACCUUACUACCAUGCCAGAUGAGCAAAAGAAAUACUACAUGUCCUUGUGCGCUGAGAUCAUGAGUCGACUAUCUAUGUCUAGUG
RNAcentral lists this long non-coding RNA (24254 nucleotides) under Setaria italica (foxtail millet). RNAcentral's name for it is "long non-coding RNA (SITA_LNC004881)". Lineage: Eukaryota; Viridiplantae; Streptophyta; Magnoliopsida; Poales; Poaceae. The record is from RNAcentral.